This 400-nucleotide ribosomal RNA is filed under the name uncultured bacterium. RNAcentral describes it as "bacterial SSU rRNA". It matches the Rfam family "Bacterial small subunit ribosomal RNA", at positions 355 to 747 of the family's 1533-position model. The record is from RNAcentral.
UGGGGAAUAUUGGACAAUGGGCGAAAGCCUGAUCCAGCCAUGCCGCGUGUGUGAAGAAGGUCUUCGGAUUGUAAAGCACUUUAAGUUGGGAGGAAGGGCUGCUGAUUAAUACUCCGCAGUCUUGACGUUACCAACAGAAUAAGCACCGGCUAACUUCGUGCCAGCAGCCGCGGUAAUACGAAGGGUGCAAGCGUUAAUCGGAAUUACUGGGCGUAAAGCGCGCGUAGGUGGUCUUGUAAGUUGAAGGUGAAAUCCCCGGGCUCAACCUGGGAACUGCCUCCAAAACUGCAGGACUCGAGUACGGUAGAGGGUGGUGGAAUUUCCUGUGUAGCGGUGAAAUGCGUAGAUAUAGGAAGGAACACCAGUGGCGAAGGCGACCACCUGGACUGAUACUGACACU